CUACGGGGCGCUCCAGUGAGGAAUAUUGCACAAUGGGGGGAACCCUGAUGCAGCAACGCCGCGUGGAGGAUGACGCAUUUCGGUGUGUAAACUCCUUUUAUAUGUCAAGAAAAUGACGGUAGCAUAUGAAUAAGCACCGGCUAACUCCGUGCCAGCAGCCGCGGUAAUACGGAGGGUGCAAGCGUUACUCGGAAUCACUGGGCGUAAAGGACGCGUAGGCGGGUCGGAAAGUCAGGUGUGAAAUCCUACAGCUUAACUGUAGAACUGCACUUGAAACUUCUAAUCUAGAGUAUGGGAGGGGGAGAUGGAAUUAGUGGUGUAGGGGUAAUAUCCGUAGAUAUCACUAGGAAUACCUAAAGCGAAGGCGAUCUCCUGGAACAUUACUGACGCUAAGGCGUGAAAGCGUGGGGAGCAAACAGGAUUAGAUACCCCGGUAGUC
Molecule: ribosomal RNA, 439 nt
Filed under: uncultured bacterium
Lineage: Bacteria
Description: partial 16S ribosomal RNA
Rfam family: Bacterial small subunit ribosomal RNA
Source: RNAcentral